GAUGAACGCUGGCGGCGUGCCUAAUACAUGCCAGUCGAGCGAACGGACGAGAAGCUUGCUUCUCUGAUGUUAGCGGCGGACGGGUGAGUAACACGUGGAUAACCUACCUAUAAGACUGGGAUAACUUCGGGAAACCGGAGCUAAUACCGGAUAAUAUUUUGAACCGCAUGGUUCAAAAGUGAAAGACGGUCUUGCUGUCACUUAUAGAUGGAUCCGCGCUGCAUUAGCUAGUUGGUAAGGUAACGGCUUACCAAGGCAACGAUGCAUAGCCGACCUGAGAGGGUGAUCGGCCACACUGGAACUGAGACACGGUCCAGACUCCUACGGGAGGCAGCAGUAGGGAAUCUUCCGCAAUGGGCGAAAGCCUGACGGAGCAACGCCGCGUGAGUGAUGAAGGUCUUCGGAUCGUAAAACUCUGUUAUUAGGGAAGAACAUAUGUGUAAGUAACUGUGCACAUCUGGACGGUACCUAAUCAGAAAGCCACGGCUAACUAAGU
RNAcentral lists this ribosomal RNA (496 nucleotides) under uncultured bacterium. RNAcentral describes it as "partial 16S ribosomal RNA". It matches the Rfam family "Bacterial small subunit ribosomal RNA", at positions 28 to 506 of the family's 1533-position model. The record is from RNAcentral.